RNAcentral lists this long non-coding RNA (1122 nucleotides) under Oryctolagus cuniculus (rabbit). RNAcentral's name for it is "lncRNA (ENSOCUG00000032769.1)". Lineage: Eukaryota; Metazoa; Chordata; Mammalia; Lagomorpha; Leporidae. The record is from RNAcentral.
CUCUGGAAUGGUUUUCCUGCCGUGGUGCUCAGCCCUUCUCCGGGUUUUGCCUGGUGCCGGCGAAUCCUGAGGUUCCCGUUUCUUCCGCUGGAGGCAGAGCCGUUCUCGGGGCUGUGUGAGCGCUGGGGAUUGUUCCCGUCAUCCCGUGGGGCUCUCGGUCCCUGGGCUGUGCUCAGCAGGACUCUGCCUGGGGCUUGGAGGGGCCCCUGCUCUGGCCUCUGGAACCCCCCUCCUCUCCGGUGCCUUUCCCGGGAGAUUGGGCCCCGUGGGCUCCCCCACCUCACUCCUGUCCACUCUGGGAGCCGCUGUUCCCAAUGGAAUCCCACCAAGAGGGACACAGAUCUCAUUUGGGCAGCAGGCAGAACUGUGCAUUGUGGGCGGGGGAAAGGCACAGCCAGCUCAGCAGUAGGUCCCCCCUCCCCGCUGAGCCUCCCAUUGGCUAAAUCCCUGACUUGGGCCACAGUCCUUCCUGGGGAGGCCUGGGCCUCACCCAGCCUGCUGGGCUCAGCCUGGACAACUGAUGGCAAGGGCCUUCAAGCCAGUCUGGGGUCAGAACACCGGCUGGAGGAGGGGAGGGUGAGGGAGGGGGUUCCAGUCCUCUGUGCCCCAUCAGGGUGCGCUGGGAGCGGAGUGGGGAUGGAACCCAGGCCCAGGACGGAGGGUCCAGGUUGGAUGAGGCAGGUGGGUGGGACUGGAGGAAGAGUGGACAGUGGCUCGAGGAGAUGCUGGGGACAAGUUGCUUGCUACCAUGCAGGAAAGAUGACUUCUGGAAAUGCUGGUAUUGGCGGGGAAGAGCCUGGGCGCCGCGGGAGGGAGGCUGGAGAGCGGCGGGGUCCAGGGGGCCCUAACUGUGGGAGGUGUCCUGGUGGCUCUCGGGCAGGGAGGUGCUGCAGCCACAGCGUCCCCGGGAGGCCCCGUAGCAUCCACAGAGCUUCAUCCUUCCCUCCAGGAAUGACAUGUGCCAUGUGGUUUAGGGAGGGCACCUUGUCCAGGAACCAGGCUGGAGGCCACCAGAGCUUCCCCAGCCCCCGAGGCCAGAAGUGCCACAUGGGCUCGCUCUGCCUCGGGGUGGGUGAGCGUGGACAGUUCCCAUCCCCCCGAGAGGUCGGUGGUGACCAUUAG